CACAACCGCUAAUACGUUACUCAGCGUGUCGCUUUCUGCUCGGCUCCUCACUUCCUCACUAGCCAGUUAACACAGAGUGAAUAACUGUGGACGGUUGGUCUUGCGGUGAGACCAGGACAGACUCAACUGUACGGACCAAAAUGCCAAAGCUGUGAUCUACAAGCAACUAUAAAGUGGUAGCACAGACUGGUGAGGGCAAAGAGGAUCAAGUGGAGAGCUUGUUCUCCGAAUCACAGUUUCCCGACAGUCCAUUCGCCUGUUAUCAGAUGCUCCUCUAAUCCAUCAAUCUGAUGUGAUCAACUCUGACCCAUGACUCAAACUCAACAAACUGCCAAACUCAGAGAGGGGACAAAGACUGAUAACAAAGCUUGACGUCACCAGAAGCAGCAGCCACUUUCUCCAUGACAUCCAGCGCUCGGCCCAGAUAUCCAUGACCCCAG
Molecule: long non-coding RNA, 440 nt
Organism: Plectropomus leopardus (leopard coralgrouper)
Lineage: Eukaryota; Metazoa; Chordata; Actinopteri; Perciformes; Serranidae
Source: RefSeq, a predicted model, not a curated record